GAUGAACGCUGGCGGCGUGCCUAAUACAUGCAAGUCGAGCGAACGGACGAGAAGCUUGCUUCUCUGAUGUUAGCGGCGGACGGGUGAGUAACACGUGGAUAACCUACCUAUAAGACUGGGAUAACUUCGGGAAACCGGAGCUAAUACCGGAUAAUAUUUUGAACCGCAUGGUUCAAAAGUGAAAGACGGUCUUGCUGUCACUUAUAGAUGGAUCCGCGCUGCAUUAGCUAGUUGGUAAGGUAACGGCUUACCAAGGCAACGAUGCAUAGCCGACCUGAGAGGGUGAUCGGCCACACUGGAACUGAGACACGGUCCCGACUCCUACGGGAGGCAGCAGUAGGGAAUCUUCCGCAAUGGGCGAAAGCCUGACGGAGCAACGCCGCGUGAGUGAUGAAGGUCUUCGGAUCGUAAAACUCUGUUAUUAGGGAAGAACAUAUGUGUAAGUAACUGUGCACAUCGUGACGGUACCUAAUCAGAAAGCCACGGCUAACUACGU
This 496-nucleotide ribosomal RNA is filed under the name uncultured bacterium. RNAcentral describes it as "partial 16S ribosomal RNA". It matches the Rfam family "Bacterial small subunit ribosomal RNA", at positions 28 to 506 of the family's 1533-position model. The record is from RNAcentral.